AAUGGGUCAGCGACUUAUAUUCUGUAGCAAGGUUAACCGAAUAGGGGAGCCGGAGGGAAACCGAGUCUUAAUUGGGCGUUAAGUUGCAGGGUAUAGACCCGAAACCCGGUGAUCUAGCCAUGGGCAGGUUGAAGGUUGGGUAACACUAACUGGAGGACCGAACCGACUAAUGUUGAAAAAUUAGCGGAUGACCUGUGGCUGGGGGUGAAAGGCCAAUCAAACCGGGAGAUAGCUGGUUCUCCCCGAAAGCUAUUUAGGUAGCGCCUCGUGAAUUCAUCUCCGGGGGUAGAGCACUGUUUCGGCUAGGGGGCCAUCCCGGCUUACCAACCCGAUGCAAACUGCGAAUACCGGAGAAUGUUAUCACGGGAGACACACGGCGGGUGCUAACGUCCGUCGUGAAGAGGGAAACAACCCAGACCGCCAGCUAAGGUCCCAAAGUCAUGGUUAAGUGGGAAACGAUGUGGGAAGGCCCAGACAGCCAGGAUGUUGGCUUAGAAGCAGCCAUCAUUUAAAGAAAGCGUAAUAGCUCACUGGUCGAGUCGGCCUGCGCGGAAGAUGUAACGGGGCUAAACCAUGCACCGAAGCUGCGGCAGCGACGCUUAUGCGUUGUUGGGUAGGGGAGCGUUCUGUAAGCCUGCGAAGGUGGCCUGUGAGGGUUGCUGGAGGUAUCAGAAGUGCGAAUGCUGACAUAAGUAACGAUAAAGCGGGUGAAAAGCCCGCUCGCCGGAAGACCAAGGGUUCCUGUCCAACGUUAAUCGGGGCAGGGUGAGUCGACCCCUAAGGCGAGGCCGAAAGGCGUAGUCGAUGGGAAACGGGUUAAUAUUCCCGUACUUGGUGUUACUGCGAAGGGGGGACGGAGAAGGCUAUGUUGGCCGGGCGACGGUUGUCCCGGUUUAAGCGUGUAGGUGUGUGUUCCAGGUAAAUCCGGUUCACUUUAACACUGAGGCGUGACGACGAGGCACUACGGUGCUGAAGCAACAAAUGCCCUGCUUCCAGGAAAAGCCUCUAAGCAUCAGGUAACAUCAAAUCGUACCCCAAACCGACACAGGUGGUCAGGUAGAGAAUACCAAGGCGCUUGAGAGAACUCGGGUGAAGGAACUAGGCAAAAUGGUGCCGUAACUUCGGGAGAAGGCACGCUGACACGUAGGUGAAGUGAUUUACUCAUGGAGCUGAAGUCAGUCGAAGAUACCAGCUGGCUGCAACUGUUUAUUAAAAACACAGCACUGUGCAAACACGAAAGUGGACGUAUACGGUGUGACGCCUGCCCGGUGCCGGAAGGUUAAUUGAUGGGGUCAGCGCAAGCGAAGCUCCUGAUCGAAGCCCCGGUAAACGGCGGCCGUAACUAUAACGGUCCUAAGGUAGCGAAAUUCCUUGUCGGGUAAGUUCCGACCUGCACGAAUGGCGUAAUGAUGGCCAGGCUGUCUCCACCCGAGACUCAGUGAAAUUGAACUCGCUGUGAAGAUGCAGUGUACCCGCGGCAAGACGGAAAGACCCCGUGAACCUUUACUAUAGCUUGACACUGAACAUUGAGCCUUGAUGUGUAGGAUAGGUGGGAGGCUUUGAAGUGUGGACGCCAGUCUGCAUGGAGCCGACCUUGAAAUACCACCCUUUAAUGUUUGAUGUUCUAACGUGGACCCGUUACCCGGGUUGCGGACAGUGUCUGGUGGGUAGUUUGACUGGGGCGGUCUCCUCCUAAAGAGUAACGGAGGAGCACGAAGGUUGGCUAAUCCUGGUCGGACAUCAGGAGGUUAGUGCAAUGGCAUAAGCCAGCUUGACUGCGAGCGUGACGGCGCGAGCAGGUGCGAAAGCAGGUCAUAGUGAUCCGGUGGUUCUGAAUGGAAGGGCCAUCGCUCAACGGAUAAAAGGUACUCCGGGGAUAACAGGCUGAUACCGCCCAAGAGUUCAUAUCGACGGCGGUGUUUGGCACCUCGAUGUCGGCUCAUCACAUCCUGGGGCUGAAGUAGGUCCCAAGGGUAUGGCUGUUCGCCAUUUAAAGUGGUACGCGAGCUGGGUUUAGAACGUCGUGAGACAGUUCGGUCCCUAUCUGCCGUGGGCGCUGGAGAACUGAGGGGGGCUGCUCCUAGUACGAGAGGACCGGAGUGGACGCAUCACUGGUGUUCGGGUUGUCAUGCCAAUGGCACUGCCCGGUAGCUAAAUGCGGAAGAGAUAAGUGCUGAAAGCAUCUAAGCACGAAACUUGCCCCGAG
Molecule: ribosomal RNA, 2206 nt
Filed under: Salmonella enterica subsp. enterica serovar Enteritidis
Lineage: Bacteria; Pseudomonadati; Pseudomonadota; Gammaproteobacteria; Enterobacterales; Enterobacteriaceae
Description: partial 23S ribosomal RNA
Rfam family: Bacterial large subunit ribosomal RNA
Source: RNAcentral